Molecule: ribosomal RNA, 478 nt
Filed under: uncultured bacterium
Lineage: Bacteria
Description: partial 16S ribosomal RNA
Rfam family: Bacterial small subunit ribosomal RNA
Source: RNAcentral
GACGAACGCUGGCGGCGUGCUUAACACAUGCAAGUCGAACGGUAAGGCCCUUCGGGGUACACGAGUGGCGAACGGGUGAGUAACACGUGGGUGAUCUGCCCUGCACUUCGGGAUAAGCCUGGGAAACUGGGUCUAAUACCGGAUAUGCCUCCUGGCUUCAUGGUUGGGGGUGGCAAGCUUUUGCGGUGUGGGCUGGGCCCGCGGCCUAUCAGCUGGUUGGUGGGGGAAUGGCCUACCAGGGCGACGACGGGUAGCCGGCCUGAGAGGGUGACCGGUCACUCUGGGACUGAGAUACGGCCCAGACUCCUACGGGAGGCAGCAGUGGGGAAUAUUGCACAAUGGGCGCAAGCCUGAUGCAGCGACGCCGCGUGAGGGAUGACGGCCUUCGGGUUGUAAACCUCUUUCAGCUAUGACGAAGCGCAAGUGACGGUAGUAGCAGAAGAAGGACCGGCCAACUACGUGCCAGCAGCCGCCGUAA